This is a long non-coding RNA of Drosophila montana, 735 nucleotides long. RefSeq lists it as uncharacterized. The transcript has 2 exons. NCBI's taxonomy places the organism in Eukaryota, Metazoa, Arthropoda, Insecta, Diptera, Drosophilidae. The record is from RefSeq and is a predicted model, not a curated record.
AGCUAGUAUAACUUUUUUUUCGUAAUGUAAAUUUAAAAACGUUGCUCUCGCUGCGCUGAAUUUACUUUUGUUAAAAUCCACAGCUCUUAAUACGGACUGUAAGGAAAGCAAGGCAGAAUUGAUUUCAAUUUUAUGCCGGCCGGCACAACUAAAUAUUAACGCAGUUGGCGUUGCCAACUUGUUGGCGUUUGUUAUCGAUUGUUUCUAAAAAGCAGCGCGCGGGCUUUAUUUAAUUUAAAAUCAUUGUGAAUCGAACAUCAAAUAGAAUGUCGCCAUGGCAACUCAAAGCAAGAAGUUUCUAGAAAGCGGUCGAACCCAUCGAAAAUGGAAAAGGUACAUACUUGACCAGGACGACGAGCUGAGUCGGUCUAGCCAUGCCUCUCCGAACUCGUUGGUCCCAGAAAAUACAAUAGCUAGAAAACUUAUAUUUUAGAUAUAUUUUCUUCGGUGCCAUACAUCCCCAAUUGAUUUUAAAAACUAGAAACUUCUACUUAUAGAACGAGCUAGACUGUUUGUAAAAGCAGCUAGGCACCCGGCUCAGGGUAUUUCCUACUUGGCUACGCCCAAGAUUCCAGUCAUUUUCAUGUGGAUGAACUUUCCGGUUCAAGCUUUUCACUCGCUUUUAAAUUCGAUCUAUUAUACAAAAGAAAACAUCCCCACAAAUUAUAUAGCAAGGACGAUUCAAAAACAAUUAAGUUUCUUUUUGAAAUAAUAAAUUAAUGGUUUAUUCUAUAA